UUCCCAGGCUAGUGGCUGAAUCGGAGCUAUAGCUGCCUGCCUGUGCCACAGUCACAGCAGCAUAGGAUGCAAGCUGUGUCUGUGACCCCCACCACAGCUCAUGGCGAUGCUGGAUCCUUAACCCACUGAGCGGGGCCAGGGAUCAAAAUCACAUCCUCAUGGAUACUAGUCAGGUUCAUAACCCACUGAGCUACAACAGGAACUCCCAGAUUACUAAAUUAAUCCCAAGAGAAAAUAAUAAUUUCAAGUGACUUUUGAAUACAGCUCAUCUUAUUCUGAGUGCAUUCCAAGGAAAAAAUUAAACCACAAAGACCUACAUUUUAUUCAAUAAUUUUAUUGUUUAUUUGUAUUAUUAGUGUUGUAAUUUUGAAACUUUUUGGUGUAAAAUGUAGAAUAAAGCAAAUAAGUAAAAAUAUUAUUAAGAAAAAUUCAGUGCAAGAGAAAUUUUACAAAUGUAAAGUCAAGGAAUUUUAAGGAAACACUAGGCAAUGUUAGAGUUGAAUUGGAACUAUCAUUAUCUACUCAUUACAUUAAAAAAAAAAAUAUAUAUAUAUAUAUAUAUAUUCCCUAUCUGUUCACUAAAAGAGCCUAAGAAAAAACACCUCAGUAAUUAGGAACAUAACUAGCACCAAGACCUUCAUUUCUAGUUAUCAUUUUCUACUAAAAGGUGCCAGAGUUCUUUGGAGACAUUAUUAAAUUUUAUUGGGGACAGGAAAAUUCCCAGAACAUGACAGAUAACUUGGAGUUCUUCUUGACCGAAUUUGGUAAAAUUUUGGACAGCAAAAAGAAUGUUGGUAUUUUUUUUAAAAAAUUGAAAGAAAACAUUUUCCGUCCCUACAAUUGAUCUUUAUAACUCCUUAUUCUAAAAGAAAUGUAUUAAGGUAUCCUGGAUUCACCCAAGUAACAUCUUAAGACAAUGAAGGAAACAUCUGUACAGAAAAAUGUCGUGUGACAGAAAUAAAAGAAUCAGAAUUAGAGCAAGUGAGACACAGAGAGCAAAUGUGGCAAAAUGCCAACAAUUGAUAAAUAAGGUGAAAUCAUAUAACGGUGUUUGUUUACUGUUCUUUCAACUUUUCUCUGGGUUUUUAAUUAUUCAAAAUUAAAGUUGGGGGGAAAGCUCAGCAUUAUGGAAAAAAAAUGAGAUGUUUAGAUUAAAACAUACAAAAGAUGGGAGGUCCAAAUGUAAUUCAUGAACCAUGAUUGGAUCCCAGUUUGGGAAGAAAAUUACUAUAAGCAACUCAAGAGGACAGUCAGAGAAUUUGAAUAUGAGCUGGAUAUUAAAUACUAUUAGGAAAUAAUUGUUAAUUGUCUUUCAUGUGGUAACGCUAUUAUGGUUAUGCAGGAGAUGAAUAUUGAAGUUAUUAUGUCUGCAAGUUAUUUUCAAAUGAUUCUGUGAAAAAUAAAUUUAGCUAUUGGCAUAGAAUAGGGAAGAUAAAUUAAUAGAUUGAUAACUUCAUAAAUAGAAAGAUAGAUAACACAUGUGGCCUAUUGCUAGCAAUCGUUGAAUCCACAAAUUAUGGGUGUUCAUUAUAUUAUUCUUUCAACAUAGCACUUUUUAAAUUUGUCUGAUAAAAUGCCAACAAAAUAAAUAUUAAAGACAAUAUUUAUUUGGGGGUUGUAACAGCCUUACAUAUAAAUAAAAUAAAGGGUACAAUUCAUAGUGUUGCCAUCUUAACAUGCAGCUUCUGAAUAAAUGGUUAUUACUCUCUUGCUCUACUAUUCUACAUUUUAAAACACAGAAUGCAAUUAACAUAUGGAGGAAAUCAGGGAUGCCUUACUGGGUUGAGUGGACAACUUUGGGCUUAGUGAACAUGUGAGUAAGAAGGUUGAAUUACUAUAAAAUGGUCCCUUGACUUCCAUGUAUGUUAAUUGGAUCUUGUUGGCUAGUUCUGUAUUUCCCAAAGGAAGAGAGGAAUGUUGAUUUUCCAACUCUCUGUUCUUGCCCUUCCAUUUAAACUCAGCCAAGUAAAGAAUAACAAUAAUCUUCCCUGUGCCUGUCCCCUCCACACACCAAACUUCCCAUGCACAUACCUAUAAUCCACUAAUUUAAUGAACCGAUUGAAGACUCCAGUUAUCAUAUUCUUAUAACUUUGCCUUCAGCUCCCUUACUUCCACUGGAGCCAGAAGUGCUGUUAGUGUUUAAAAUGAGUACCUUUUUAACACUUUCGAUUUUGCCCAUCACUGAGUUCUUGUCCUGGAAUUAGAUCAAGACAUGUUUUAGCAAUUUAGCUCUUUUUUAAAAAAUACUGUGUUUCCCAAACUUAUGUAUAAAAAUUGUUACCAAUAGGUGCAAAAAUAUUUAGAAUAACUUAAAGUUUUGUAUAUUAGAUCAAGUUCUGGGUUAUCCUUUGUUAUUUCAUUUUACUUUAAAAUUUUAAUCCCUUCCAUUGCACCUUCCAGAACUAUUCUAUUUUGCUCUAGAGAGAAAGAGAAACACUAAUUCAUAGACUAAUUCAAAGAUGUAAGGAACUAUUAAGACAUUUGAAUCAAGGAGUAAAUUCCUAAUUCACCUUCAAGUGCCAGCUGAUAUGACAUUUUCCUUGUGAGUCUUCCCAAACACAUAGGUGGGGACCAAACCAAUCUAUACUAUAGUAAUUAGCACAUCACAAGGACAGGCAAGGAGUCAUUAAAUAUUUCUUGAAUGAAUAAUGUUUCCAUCCCUAUAAUAUUUAUCAUACUGAGUAUAACUAUUUCGACAUAUCGGUCUCCCUUCAAUGGAUCUAACACUGAAUGUUUUUGUUUUGGUAGAGUGAAAUGAUGAAAAAUAGUCUUGGGAAAUUAAUCUGGCACGAGUUUCCAUGGUGAGGGGUAAAUUUGAGGACAAACACUUUGAAGGAAUAAAGAAGACUGGCUGUAAAUCAUUUGUAUGUAAAGUCGUAGAAAUUCCUUUAGACCUAGGAUUGAAAUUAAGAUCAGGGACAAUCCAUUCCUAUCCUUAAAACAUUAGGCUAAUGGCACAGCAAAGCUCAGUGACUUACUUGUAUGGCCUUGGGAUUAAAGUUAAAAUUUAGGAACUCAUUUUAACCUUUAAAGCCUUAGCAAAAAAGUAAGAUAUUUCAUGAGCACUAUUUCAGUGGCAACAAAUCUUUGUAGUAGAGAUUUGCAUUGCCUGAUUGUGGCAAUUGCUUUAUUUUCAUUCUGCAUAUCGUAGUGAAUCAACAUUACCAUCAUUAAAUAUUUAUCCAGCACUUCUGCUAAGUUGCUGUGGCAAAAUGAUUUUUUAACAUCUCUUCCUACCUAAUUAUAGACAAAAUAGAGAAUAUGAAUAUAAAAAGGCAUAAGCACACAACAAAUAACAUUCAUAUUGAAAUAUUUACAGCUUUAUUGAAACAGUCACAUGGGCAGAGCUGUAUGAAAAGACAUGAAGUAUAUAGAAAAUAUGGUCUAGUGAAAAAAAUGAAAUGAAAUAUAAAAAAGCACAUGUUUUGGCAAACAUAAUUGAACCCAAAUACAUAAAGAUAAGAGUGAAAUGGAAAUACUGGAAAGUGAGGUGCCUGGGGAUUAGUGAGGGCAAAUCAAGGAGGAUUUCAAAGAAGAAGUGAAUAUUCAUUUAAAUAGACUUCAUUUGCUCUUUUAGUCACCAAAGUGUUCACAAGACUCUUUUCUGUGUCAACUACGUUAGGUACAAAAGAUCAGAACUAAAUAAGCCAUUGUUCCUGUGGUCUAGGAGUUCACAGUCUAAUAGGGAAGAAAGACAUAUAAAAAAUGAUUGCCAUUCAGUGAAGUAAAUUCUCGAGGAGGAAUUUAGAGUUAGGAAAGACUCAAGAAAUUGAGAUUUGAGGCUAAGUAAAAGUUUGCCAGGCACAAAAGCAAAGAACAGCAUUCUAGCCAGGGGAGUGGUUUGUGCAAAUGGGAAGGACCGUAGCCCUGUGCAGAGGCAAAUACAUGCACAAGUCAAUCCCUGCAGACGAAAUAGUAAAAGAAUUUCAGGAUAGAUUACAUGUGUGUAGAGGAAUGAUGGAAAAGUCAUAUGAGCAACUUGGCAGAGGUCAGAUUGGAAAGGACAUUUUAUGGAACACUGAUGAUUCUGGACUUUAUUCUGUAGGUAAUGGUUAAGUAACUGAAGAUUCUAAGAAGGGACAAUCAGAAAAACAAUUCAGAAUCCAUUAACAUAUGCAGUGUUAGGACAAGGAUGCAACAUUCUUAGCACCUUCCAUUUUUGUGCUUCUGGCUAGGUUUAAGUGUCAGAUACUCAGCUCAGCGGCACACAGAAAAAUAGGUGUUGACAAGAUAUUUGGGGGAUAUUCAAUCAAGGUCAGGCUGUGGGAAUAUGACUGGACCAGCAACUGAAAAAAAAAAAGAAUAUAUUUUCUGGAUACAUUCCCAUUAAUAUUUAAUCCUCAAAUUCCUACUAACUUCAGAGAUCAUGCUUGGAUUUUAUCCCAAAUUAAAAUAUUUGUCAUUAGAAAUGUUCAAUCAAAUAUCACAAAUCCUCAUUCCUCACUCAAAGUUAGAACAUGUGAAGUACCUCAAGCAAACCAGAUGUACUAGACCUAGGGGGACCAUACUGGUAAGGCUGGGAGGACCUAAGCAUUUAUGUAGUCUAAUCUCUUUACUUCACAUAUAGGGAGACAGAUAUCCAGGUCUGUCAUACAGUUUUUCUAAAGUUCCUACAACUAGUUUCUGACAGAGCUAGAGCUUUAAGUUUUAUCAUAGAUCUCCCAGUCCAGUGCUUGUUCUGAAACACUGGACCACCUCUCUUCAAUGAAGAGGAUUGCUCUUUAAGGUCAUGGCUCUGGUGAGUUUUCGUCCAUCAUGAUAGCAUUACAGUGCCCUCAUUUUGAGACUACUAAAGUCUGACUCACUUGCAAAUAGUAUAAGUAAGUCUAACAGCAUUUCUACAUUUUGAUAUAGAAAAGAUGGUUCCAUGAAAGGCAGCUUCCUGAAGGAAAGUGUACAGUUGUCCCUUUCAAAAAAUGUCAGUCCUGCAGAAGGCAUUUCACCCUAAAGGAGACCGAAUAUAAGUUCUGAACAGCCUACCUGACAGU
Molecule: long non-coding RNA, 4988 nt
Filed under: Sus scrofa (pig)
Lineage: Eukaryota; Metazoa; Chordata; Mammalia; Artiodactyla; Suidae
Description: lncRNA (ENSSSCG00045006739.1)
Source: RNAcentral